UGAUCCUUAACGCGAAGAAGAACCACCGACAUCGACCAUAUCCAGGCAAUCCAGGAACUGAUUUGAAGCAACCGCAGAUUUUUAAACGAUGAGGACGUUCACACAGUGAUGCUCGGAUGACUCCGUAACGAAGGAUAGAAUUCCUGCUGUUGAGGAAUCGGACGGUUGGAGCUGUUGCUUAUGCUGCAUCGUAACAUUCGCCGAGAACACAGCUCUAGAUAGUUAUGUCACCGAUGGAAAAUGAGUCGUCAAAAUGAGCACAGGCGCAGUGAACGACUAAGAAUGCCGAUUCGGGUAUCCCGGCCGCAAGACAUUAACAAAUGUUGAACUAAUUUGGCAACAGUUUUGCUGACAAAUCUAUGCUGUUUCUAGGGAGGAGUACUAAGCAUGAAGGAGAGAUCGGUUUUGCUGUAUCAUAUUUCAUGAAGCCACGAAGUCUGAACUUGGACAGAUGGCAAUGCAGCCCUGACGGUGCUUAGCAGAUUGUCAAACUCAAGACCUACUACACAAGACUGCAGCACCAAUUUGCAGAUAUCAGUACCAACAGCGGUCCCAAAACUCACGUUUCAGCAACUUUGUUUAUGAAUCUUCAUCAACCAGAAUUGUACUCUAUCUUCCUGAUAAAAUUCUUAAAUUACAUAAUACAACAUUUAGUAUUGUUAUGAGCCCAAAUCAGGUAACCAAACUGUUCCUAUAAGAUAAAUUUAGCAAAAUGUCAAUAAUCCGAAAUAAUGUCAUAAGUUAUUUAGUAAUAUACAUUUUACUGACAUGAAAAAAGUUUGUAGAACCAUGCAUUAUUAGUAUCUGUUGAAUGAAUUUAUGAAACUGAUAUUAUUAGUUUAGCGAAGUAACAAAAAAUACAGUCUAUCAAUUAAUUAUGCUACAUUUGCUUUAUGAAUGACCAAGCUCAAGUAGAUAAUGUUGCUAAAAACUGAAAAAAUAGUUUGCAUCAAAUAAAUUGUUAUCAUUGAAAUCUGUUCUAACAGCAUUUUAUAAAUGCUUUGCAACACUAUAUAGCACUGCAUUUGAGGUAAUUAUUGGUUGUAGUGCUGAACACACCAUUAAGUACAGAAGUGCCUGUAUUGUUUCUGAGAGGGCUAAUAACUUUCUUUCAUUUUCAAAGAAACAUGACCCUGUUUAAAAUGCACGCCAGUUAAGGAACACAUAUUUGAAUCUAUGUCUCACUUACUAAUGUUUAGCUUGUAAUAAAUAAAAAAGUAUUAUACUUAAGCCAUAUAUUCAGCGGGUGGCUGUGCUCCCUUUUUUCACUAAUUGUUUGAUUUUGUUUUCAUUGUUAUUCAUCCAUCAUAUAAAUUAAUUAACACAUUAAUUUUUACAUAUGCUGUGAAAUUCU
Molecule: long non-coding RNA, 1354 nt
Organism: Schistocerca gregaria
Lineage: Eukaryota; Metazoa; Arthropoda; Insecta; Orthoptera; Acrididae
Exons: 5
Source: RefSeq, a predicted model, not a curated record